CCUACGGGAGACAGCAGUGAGGAAUAUUGGUCAAUGGGCGUAAGCCUGAACCAGCCAAGUCGCGUGAGGGAAGACGGUCCUAUGGAUUGUAAACCUCUUUUGUCGGGGAGCAAAAGACGCCACGCGUGGCGUUCCGAGAGUACCCGAAGAAAAAGCAUCGGCUAACUCCGUGCCAGCAGCCGCGGUAAUACGGAGGAUGCGAGCGUUAUCCGGAUUUGUUGGGUUAAAAGGGUGCGCAGGCGGAAGAUCAAGUCAGCGGUAAAAUUGAGAGGCUCAACCUCUUCGAGCCGUUGAAACUGGUUUUCUUGAGUGAGCGAGAAGUAUGCGGAAUGCGUGGUGUAGCGGUGAAAUGCAUAGAUAUCACGCAGAACUCCGAUUGCGAAGGCAGCAUACCGGCGCUCAACUGACGCUCAUGCACGAAAGUGUGGGUAUCGAACAGGAUUAGAUACCCGAGUAGUC
RNAcentral lists this ribosomal RNA (459 nucleotides) under uncultured bacterium. RNAcentral's name for it is "partial 16S ribosomal RNA". It matches the Rfam family "Bacterial small subunit ribosomal RNA", at positions 338 to 795 of the family's 1533-position model. The record is from RNAcentral.